CUGCCGUCCAGGAGGACGUUCCCGAGCGGGCCGCUGCCGUCCAGGAGGACGUUCCCGAGCGGGCCGCUGCCGUCCAGGAGGACGUUCCCGAGCGGGCCGCUGCCGUCCAGGUGGACGUGCCCGAGGUUCCCGAGGCGGGGCUCGAGGUGGUUCGGGAUGCCGAGGCGGUGCCCGAGGCUGUGCCCGAUGCCGAGGCGGUGCCUGAUGCGGUGGCCGAGGCGGUUCCCGAUGCAAUGUCCGAUGCCGAGGCGGUGCCCGUUGCCGAGGCGGUGCCCGAUGCGGUGGCCGAGGCGGUUCCCGAUGCGAUGCCCGAGGCCGAGGCGGUGGUCGAGGCAGAGGCGGUUCCUGAUGCGAUGCACGAGGCCGAGGCGGUCCCCGAUGCCGAGGCGGUCCCCGAUGCAAUGCCCGAUGCCGAGGCGGUGCCCGAGGCCGAGGCGGUGCCCGAUGCCGAGGCGGUGCCCGAUGCCGAGGCGGUGCCCGAUGCCGAGGCGGUGCCCGAGGCGGUGCCCGAUGCCGAGGCGGUUGCGGUGCCAGAGACGGUGCCAGAGACGGUUCCCGAUGUAAUGCCCGAGACCGAGGCUGUUCCGGAGGUCGAGGCGGUGCCCGAUGUUGUUCCCGAUGCCGAGGCGGUGCCCGAUGCUGUUCCGCAGGUCGAGGCGGUGGCCAAUGCCGUUCCGCAGGUCGAGGCGGUGCCCGAGUUGGUUCCAGAGACCGAGGCGGUGCCCGAGGUGGUGCCCGAUGCGCAGGCCGAGGUCGUUCCCGAGGCGGUGCCCGAUGCGCAGGCCGAGGUCGUUCCUGAGGUGGUGCCCGAUGCAGAGAUCGUUCCCGAGGCGGUGUCCUUGUCCAAGGCCGUUCCCGAGGCCGUGCCCGAGGCCGUUCCCGAGGCGGGGGCCUUGUCCAAUGUCGUUCCUGAGGCCGUUCCUGAGGUCGUUCCUGAGACCGUUCCCGAGGCGGUGUCCUGGUCCGAUGCCGUUCCUGAGGCCGUUCCUGAGGCCAUUCCAGAGGCGGUGGCCGAUGCUGUUCCGGAGGCCGAUGCGGGGCCCAGGAUGGCUCCGGAGGCGAUACCCGUGUCCAAGGCCGUUCCCGAGGCGGUGCCCUUGUCUGAGGUCGUUCCUGAUGCCGUUCCCAAUGCCGUGACCGGGCCAUCGCCACAGCCUGCUCCUUACUGGCUCCCCGAUUGGCAGGUUCCGUUCGGGCCACUCAAAUGGCGAAUUCCUCCCUGGCCGUCUGCACAACGAGAAUGGACUGAUCCACCGUGGCCACCUGAACUGCCUGGCCCCUCGUGGUCCCCUGAACUUUCGGGUCCACCGUGGCCACCUGAACUGCCUGGUCCCUCGUGGUCCCCUGAACUUUCGGGUCCACCGUGGCCACCUGAACUGCCUGGUCCCUCGUGGUCCCCUGAACUUUCGGGUCCACCAUGGCGCCCUGAUCUGACCGAGCCACCUGGGCUACCAGGGGAGCCAUCGCUGCCGGUCCCAGUUCCCCUACACGGGCCUGGCCCGCCAUCCCUCCCCC
This is a long non-coding RNA of Cyprinus carpio carpio, 1515 nucleotides long. NCBI's taxonomy places the organism in Eukaryota, Metazoa, Chordata, Actinopteri, Cypriniformes, Cyprinidae. The record is from Ensembl.